This 234-nucleotide ribosomal RNA is filed under the name Gammarus locusta. Its description in RNAcentral is "partial small subunit ribosomal RNA". Lineage: Eukaryota; Metazoa; Arthropoda; Malacostraca; Amphipoda; Gammaridae. The record is from RNAcentral.
CUUCAGCAGCAUCUAUUAAGUUGCUGCGGUUAAAAGGCUCGCAGUUGAAUGUCUGUAUCGAGCGCAGGUCAGGUGGACGUUGGAGCGUGGAAGUACGGGCAGUUGGAUGUCAUAUAUGCGUGUGUCUCACGAUGCUCGGGUGUGUGCUCCUUCGGCUUUUCCACACACUCCCGUCCGUAACAAGCCUCCUCGCUCGGGUACAUAACGGGAAUCGGUUAAACGGAGUGUGGUGUG